Arvicola amphibius (Eurasian water vole) is the source of this 439-nucleotide long non-coding RNA. RefSeq lists it as uncharacterized. Lineage: Eukaryota; Metazoa; Chordata; Mammalia; Rodentia; Cricetidae. The transcript is spliced from 2 exons. The record is from RefSeq and is a predicted model, not a curated record.
AGCCCUACCUAGGAACCUGCUGGAAGAUCUGCGCUUGCGCCCGAUACUCAGCCUCAACAACCUGCGACAGCAGCUGGAACCUGAGCCCGGAUGCCACCUUUAAUGAGCAAGUCCUAAAUCUGCAAGGUCUGGACAUCUGGGAAUAAACAAGCAGCCUCCCCCAACAUGCCUGAGUCCUCCCUGAUCAGCACAGCAGUGGUCUACUUUGCUCCACAUAAACAGUUGCUUAUCAAUGUCCUAAUCUUUGAUUCCAAAUAGAGUAAAAGGGAAAUAAUACAAUGUCAUUCCCUUAAAACUCCUAAAAAUUAUAUCAAAAUGAACAAAAAAAAAUGGUAGCUGGCUUGUGCUUAUAUCCCAAUGACCAAAAGAAAUAACCAAUGCCUUGGGUAUAACCCCCAACUUUGGGAGGGGGUAGAAUAAAAUGAGCGAGCUAAAUCAU